Molecule: ribosomal RNA, 207 nt
Filed under: uncultured bacterium
Lineage: Bacteria
Description: partial 16S ribosomal RNA
Rfam family: Bacterial small subunit ribosomal RNA
Source: RNAcentral
UACGUAGGGUGCAAGCGUUAAUCGGAAUUACUGGGCGUAAAGCGUGCGCAGGCGGUUUUGUAAGUCUGACGUGAAAUCCCCGGGCUCAACCUGGGAAUUGCGUUGGAGACUGCAAGGCUAGAAUCUGGCAGAGGGGGGUAGAAUUCCACGUGUAGCAGUGAAAUGCGUAGAGAUGUGGAGGAACACCGAUGGCGAAGGCAGCCCCCU